AGGACGAACGCUGGCGGCGUGCUUAACACAUGCAAGUCGAGCGGAAAGGCCCUUCGGGGUACUCGAGCGGCGAACGGGUGAGUAACACGUGAGUAAUCUGCCCCUAGCUCUGGGAUAGCUCCGGGAAACCGGGAUUAAUACCGGAUACGACCACCUUAGACAUCUUUUGUGGUGGAAAGAAUUUCGGCUAGGGAUGAGCUCGCGGCCUAUCAGCUUGUUGGUGGGGUAACGGCCUACCAAGGCGACGACGGGUAGCCGGCCUGAGAGGGCGACCGGCCACGACUGGGACUGAGACACGGCCCAGACUCCUACGGGAGGCAGCAGUGGGGAAUAUUGCGCAAUGGGCGAAAGCCUGACGCAGCGACGCCGCGUGGGGAUGAAGGCCUUCGGGUUGUAAACCCCUUUCAGCAGGGACGAAGCGAAAGUGACGGUACCUGCAGAAGAAGCGCCGGCUAACUACGUGCCAGCAGCCGC
This 474-nucleotide ribosomal RNA is filed under the name uncultured bacterium. RNAcentral describes it as "SSU rRNA". It matches the Rfam family "Bacterial small subunit ribosomal RNA", at positions 26 to 518 of the family's 1533-position model. The record is from RNAcentral.